AUUGAACGCUGGCGGCGUGCCUAACACAUGCAAGUCGAGCGGUAACAGGUGUAGCAAUACAUGCUGACGAGCGGCGAACGGGUGAGUAAUGCUUCGGAAUCUACCCAAUGGUGGGGAAUAACCAGCCGAAAGGUUGGCUAAUACCGCAUACGUCCCACGGGAGAAAGCAGGGGAUCGCAAGACCUUGCGCCAAUGGAUGAGCCGAAGUCGGAUUAGCUAGUUGGAGGGUAACGGCCUACCAAGGCGACGAUCCGUAGCUGGUCUGAGAGGACGACCAGCCACACUGGGACUGAGACACGGCCCAGACUCCUACGGGAGGCAGCAGUGGGGAAUAUUGGACAAGUGGGGGAAACCCUGAUCCAGCGACGCCGCGUGUGUGAAGAAGGCCU
Molecule: ribosomal RNA, 389 nt
Filed under: uncultured bacterium
Lineage: Bacteria
Description: bacterial SSU rRNA
Rfam family: Bacterial small subunit ribosomal RNA
Source: RNAcentral